UGAGACCUCAGGUCAGGCGGGGCU
RNAcentral lists this ribosomal RNA (24 nucleotides) under Trigonella foenum-graecum. RNAcentral describes it as "partial 28S ribosomal RNA". Lineage: Eukaryota; Viridiplantae; Streptophyta; Magnoliopsida; Fabales; Fabaceae. The record is from RNAcentral.